This 497-nucleotide ribosomal RNA is filed under the name uncultured bacterium. RNAcentral describes it as "partial 16S ribosomal RNA". It matches the Rfam family "Bacterial small subunit ribosomal RNA", at positions 28 to 507 of the family's 1533-position model. The record is from RNAcentral.
GAUGAACGCUGGCGGCGUGCCUAAUACAUGCAAGUCGAGCGAACGGACGAGAAGCUUGCUUCUCUGAUGUUAGCGGCGGACGGGUGAGUAACACGUGGAUAACCUACCUAUAAGACUGGGAUAACUUCGGGAAACCGUAGCUAAUACCGGAUAAUAUUUUGAACCGCAUGGUUCAAAAGUGAAAGACGGUCUUGCUGUCACUUAUAGAUGGAUCCGCGCUGCAUUAGCUAGUUGGUAAGGUAACGGCUUACCAAGGCAACGAUGCAUAGCCGACCUGAGAGGGUGAUCGGCCAGACUGGAACUGAGACACGGUCCAGACUCCUACGGGAGGCAGCAGUAGGGAAUCUUCCGCAAUGGGCGAAAGCCUGACGGAGCAACGCCGCGUGAGUGAUGAAGGUCUUCGGAUCGUAAAACUCUGUUAUUAGGGAAGAACAUAUGUGUAAGUAACUGUGCACAUCUUGACGGUACCUAAUCAGAAAGCCACGGCUAACUACGUG